RNAcentral lists this ribosomal RNA (254 nucleotides) under uncultured bacterium. Its description in RNAcentral is "partial 16S ribosomal RNA". It matches the Rfam family "Bacterial small subunit ribosomal RNA", at positions 524 to 776 of the family's 1533-position model. The record is from RNAcentral.
UACAGAGGUCUCAAGCGUUGUUCGGAUUCAUUGGGCGUAAAGGGUGCGUAGGUGGCGCGCUAAGUCAGGUGUGAAAUUUCGGAGCUUAACUCCGAAACUGCAUUCGAUACUGCCGUGCUUGAGGACUGGAGAGGAGACUGGAAUUUACGGUGUAGCGGUGAAAUGCGUAGAUAUCGUAAGGAAGACCAGUGGCGAAGGCGGGGUCUCUGGACAGUUCCUGACGCUGAGGCACGAAGGCCAGGGGAGCAAACGGG